UUAAAGCAAGGGCUUGAAGAUUAUAAUUUUUCUUCUGUGUGGAAGUUAGGGAGUUGACAUUCUGAGAACAAGAUAAAAUGCAGUUCAAUCUUAAGUCAGAAGAAGAAGAAGAGGGAGGAGGGAGGUGUUCCCAAUGGCAUAAAUCCAACUGAAAGAAGCAAAAGGACAGAAGAUUCAAGCUUGGACUUAUUGGAAAGAGUAAAGGCUAUCUAACCUCCUGGCUUCAAACACCAGACCUAAGGAGAAGUUGUAGAUCUGUACUUAAUACAGAUGCAAGGAUAUAUCUGUAUGCUAGCUCUGGAACACUAGCUCUGGAAAUUACAAAUGACUUCAGGUGAGACAUAAAAUAAUCCAUUGUUUCGCAUCUCUGUUACUAAU
This 378-nucleotide long non-coding RNA is filed under the name Anser brachyrhynchus (Pink-footed goose). RNAcentral's name for it is "lncRNA (ENSABRG00000010891.1)". The record is from RNAcentral. Lineage: Eukaryota; Metazoa; Chordata; Aves; Anseriformes; Anatidae.